GGCUGCAACUCGCCUGCAUGAAGUCGGAAUUGCUAGUAAUCGUGGAUCAGCAUGCCACGGUGAAUACGUUCCCGGGCCUUGUACACACCGCCCGUCACACCAUGGGAGUCGGUAACACCCGAAGCCUGUAGUCUAACCGCAAGGAGGACGCAGUCGAAGGUGGGAUUGAUGACUGGGGUGAAGUCGUAACAAGGUAAC
This 198-nucleotide ribosomal RNA is filed under the name uncultured bacterium. RNAcentral's name for it is "partial 16S ribosomal RNA". It matches the Rfam family "Bacterial small subunit ribosomal RNA", at positions 1303 to 1500 of the family's 1533-position model. The record is from RNAcentral.